ACAACCAUAUCAUGUUGAAACAUCGGUUUCCAUAUGAUCACCAAAGUUAAGCAACAUUGAGCCUAGUCAGUUCCUAGAUAGUUGGCUGCUUGGGAAUACCAAGUGCUAUA
This is a non-coding RNA of Acanthosepion pharaonis, 110 nucleotides long. The record is from the annotation of a GenBank genome assembly. NCBI's taxonomy places the organism in Eukaryota, Metazoa, Mollusca, Cephalopoda, Sepiida, Sepiidae.